CAUGGGUGCCACUGGUCACAAGGACACGGCGUUAACGUUGCCAGGGGUCAGGGGUUCGAUUCCCUCUGGGACCA
This is a non-coding RNA of Merluccius polli (Benguela hake), 74 nucleotides long. Lineage: Eukaryota; Metazoa; Chordata; Actinopteri; Gadiformes; Merlucciidae. The record is from the annotation of a GenBank genome assembly.